CCUACGGGCGGCAGCAGUGGGGAAUAUUGCACAAUGGGCGCAAGCCUGAUGCAGCCAUGCCGCGUGUGUGAAGAAGGCCUUCGGGUUGUAAAGCACUUUCAGCGGGGAGGAAGGCGGUGAGGUUAAUAACCUCAUCGAUUGACGUUACCCGCAGAAGAAGCACCGGCUAACUCCGUGCCAGCAGCCGCGGUAAUACGGAGGGUGCAAGCGUUAAUCGGAAUUACUGGGCGUAAAGCGCACGCAGGCGGUCUGUCAAGUCGGAUGUGAAAUCCCCGGGCUCAACCUGGGAACUGCAUUCGAAACUGGCAGGCUAGAGUCUUGUAGAGGGGGGUAGAAUUCCAGGUGUAGCGGUGAAAUGCGUAGAGAUCUGGAGGAAUACCGGUGGCGAAGGCGGCCCCCUGGACAAAGACUGACGCUCAGGUGCGAAAGCGUGGGGAGCAAACAGGAUUGAUACCCGUGUAGUC
This 464-nucleotide ribosomal RNA is filed under the name uncultured Klebsiella sp. RNAcentral's name for it is "bacterial SSU rRNA". It matches the Rfam family "Bacterial small subunit ribosomal RNA", at positions 338 to 795 of the family's 1533-position model. The record is from RNAcentral. Lineage: Bacteria; Pseudomonadati; Pseudomonadota; Gammaproteobacteria; Enterobacterales; Enterobacteriaceae.